AUACGUAGGGGGCGAGCGUUGUCCGGAAUGAUUGGGCGUAAAGGGCGCGUAGGCGGCCCGGUAAGUCUGGAGUGAAAGUCCUGUUUUUAAGAUGGGAAUUGCUUUGGAUACUGUCGGGCUUGAGUGCAGGAGAGGUAAGUGGAAUUCCCAGUGUAGCGGUGAAAUGCGUAGAGAUUGGGAGGAACACCAGUGGCGAAGGCGGGUAACUGGACUGCAACUGACGCUGAGGCGCGAAAGUGUGGGGAGCAAACAGGAUUAGAUACCCUGGUAGUCCACACUGUAAACGAUGAUUACUAGGUGUGGGGGGACUGACCCCUUCCGUGCCGGAGUUAACACAAUAAGUAAUCCACCUGGGGAGUACGGCCGCAAGGUUGAAACUCAAAUGAAUUGGCGGGG
RNAcentral lists this ribosomal RNA (396 nucleotides) under uncultured bacterium. RNAcentral's name for it is "partial 16S ribosomal RNA". It matches the Rfam family "Bacterial small subunit ribosomal RNA", at positions 523 to 918 of the family's 1533-position model. The record is from RNAcentral.